UACGUAGGGUGCGAGCGUUUGUCCGGAAUUAUUGGGCGUAAAGGGCUCGUAGGCGGUUUGUCGCGUCGGGAGUGAAAAUCCAGGGCUUAACUCUGGACUGGCUUUCGAUACGGGCAGACUAGAGGUAUGCAGGGGAGAACGGAAUUCCUGGUGUAGCGGUGAAAUGCGCAGAUAUCAGGAGGAACACCGGUGGCGAAGGCGGUUCUCUGGGCAUUACCUGACGCUGAGGAGCGAAAGUGUGGGGAGCGAACAGG
RNAcentral lists this ribosomal RNA (254 nucleotides) under uncultured bacterium. Its description in RNAcentral is "partial 16S ribosomal RNA". It matches the Rfam family "Bacterial small subunit ribosomal RNA", at positions 524 to 776 of the family's 1533-position model. The record is from RNAcentral.